AGCGAACGCUGGCGGCAGGCUUAACACAUGCAAGUCGAACGCCCCGCAAGGGGAGUGGCAGACGGGUGAGUAACACGUGGGAACGUACCCUUUGGUUCGGAAUAACUUGGGGAAACUCAAGCUAAUACCGGAUAAGCCCUUAUGGGGAAAGGUUUACUGCCGAAGGAUCGGCUCGCGUCUGAUUAGCUAGUUGGUGAGGUAAUGGCUCACCAAGGCGACGAUCAGUAGCUGGUCUGAGAGGAUGAACAGCCACACUGGGACUGAGACACGGACCAGACUCCUACGGGAGGCAGCAGUGGGGAAUAUUGGACAAUGGGGGCAACCCUGAUCCAGCCAUGCCGCGUGAGUGAUGAAGGCCUUAGGGUUGGAAAGCUCUUUUACCCGGGACGAUAAUGGCUGUACCGGGAGAAUAAGCCCCGGCUAACUUCGUGCCAGCAGCCGCCGUAA
This 447-nucleotide ribosomal RNA is filed under the name uncultured bacterium. RNAcentral describes it as "partial 16S ribosomal RNA". It matches the Rfam family "Bacterial small subunit ribosomal RNA", at positions 29 to 523 of the family's 1533-position model. The record is from RNAcentral.